CCCGCAACGAGCGCCACCCCUGUCUCAUGUUGCCAGCACAUAAUGGUGGGGACUCGUGAGAGACUGCCGGGGUCAACUCGGAGGAAGGUGGGGAUGACGUCAAAUCAUCAUGCCCCUUAUGUCUAGGGCUUCACACAUGCUACAAUGGCUAGUACAGAGGGCUGCGAUACCGCGAGGUGGAGCGAAUCCCUUAAAGCUGGUCUCAGUUCGGAUUGGGGUCUGCAACUCGACCCCAUGAAGUCGGAGUCGCUAGUAAUCGCAGAUCAGCAACGCUGCGGUGAAUACGUUCGCGGGCUUUGUACACACCGCCUGA
Molecule: ribosomal RNA, 313 nt
Filed under: uncultured bacterium
Lineage: Bacteria
Description: bacterial SSU rRNA
Rfam family: Bacterial small subunit ribosomal RNA
Source: RNAcentral